AGGUGCUGUUGUGAUCGACUAAAAGUAAAUGAGCUUGUGGCACGGAUCAAAAUUGGCAGCUCUGAAGAUGGAUUUUCUCCAAAUUUACAGCAGCUUUUUAUGAUUAAGAAUCAGUUAAAAAUAAGCUUAUCCUAAUGUUAGCCUGACAAAAACUUCCACUCCAUUCUUCAACAUCAACUCUAUGGUCCUGCUCCAGAAAAAAAGGGGGGAGGACAGAGAAAGCAAAAACAGGUCAACUAGAAGUCUGAACCAAUGAGAAUAAGAUUUGGCUCAUCUGUGUUCUUCACAAUUGAACAGUUUGCUGACACCCAACAUCAGGGCUCAUACAUUAACAAUGGACAACUGUGUGAGGUAAUUGCACCCAAGUGCCAUCCAAGGAA
Molecule: long non-coding RNA, 380 nt
Organism: Rhincodon typus (whale shark)
Lineage: Eukaryota; Metazoa; Chordata; Chondrichthyes; Orectolobiformes; Rhincodontidae
Exons: 3
Source: RefSeq, a predicted model, not a curated record